Molecule: small RNA, 28 nt
Filed under: Bombyx mori (domestic silkworm)
Lineage: Eukaryota; Metazoa; Arthropoda; Insecta; Lepidoptera; Bombycidae
Description: ovarian small RNA-11422
Source: RNAcentral
ACGAAUGUAAAAUGUUGUCGAAAAUUGC